Non-coding RNA from Mesorhizobium huakuii 7653R, 45 nucleotides. The record is from Rfam. NCBI's taxonomy places the organism in Bacteria, Pseudomonadati, Pseudomonadota, Alphaproteobacteria, Hyphomicrobiales, Phyllobacteriaceae.
AGAGAGGCUUCCACGGCUUGCCGUUCGGGGGCCUUUUUCUUUUGC